UGUCUCUGUGUACUUUCUUAUGUACACAUCACUCUUUACGGCAGAGCAAUUAGUCUGAAAUUGACAUGACGCAACGCCGGCUCCGCCCCCAGGCGGAAGUAGAGCGAACCUACAAACAAACAACGUGAAGGCACAGGAAGUGAAACUCAACGCAUUACACACGACAUUUUUUGAGUCAAUUUUGCCUUAUCAGCCAACACUGAGGCAAUGACGAAAGACAAAAAUAUUCUCCAACGAGUUGUACAUCAGGUCGUUAAGGUUAUUUGCGGGAAACGGUGGAGAAUCAACUUUAAACCAGAGAAUGAAUGAGGGUCACAAAGUCUCCCAUGUGACUGUGGACGAUGAUGAGUCAGACACGUUUUGCGUACAAAGCAAGAACCGUCCAGCCUCCUCCAGCCCCUGACCCCCCUGUCUGCUCUGCUUGCAGGGGUCAGUGAGUUUCCCCUCAAAGAGGUUAGUUAGUGUUGGAGCAGAGGGUGUGGCAUGUUGGCCUGCGUCUUUGAUCGCUACACGGCUUACAAUCCAUUUUCUUCCACCUGAUGAGCUUCGGGCUGACCUCGGGGUCCAACACACCUCAUGUGGAGAAACAUUUCCACAGAGAAAUCACCCAAUUUUCCCCAAUUUUGUUCUUCUCUUUGAUUUUUUGGGGGGAACUUUUUUUUUUUUUUUAGCAAUCUGUUGAAAUCUUAUUUUCCUUCAUCUCAUCUAGCAGCUUAUUGUCACAAAUCUGUUCCACCUUCAGUUUCAGUUUGUAAAUAUGAUAAAAAGACUUAAAUGCUGCAGCUAAAGACUGACCACAGUCUGCAAACCAAAUAUAAUUAGGCUAAAACAAAUCCACAAUGAUAUUAAAACCCAAUGUUAGAGUCCAGCACCUGUGGAUUUAAUCAGUUAUAUAAUACUGACCCUAUUAACCCUCCUGGUUUUAAUAUUCCUUAAAACCAGAUUGACUGAUGAUAAAAAUGAGGUUUUUGCAGGAUUGAACCGUAACAAUGCUGCCACCUGCUGUUUAUGCUGCUGUACUGUUUCUGCAGAUUAAACCUCUCACUUCAUGAAUUUAAAGUCGCAUAAGUAUUAUGAGCUUAAUGGGAAAGCUUGUGGCUUUUAUUUCAGGAUAAUAGUAUUCAAGCUAUUGGACGUAUUUAGGAUUUAUAUCUCUGUAAAAUGUUGGAUUAGAUUUUAAAGCUCAGUUUAGAUAAGAUUUAUGACCUGAGUUAUAAACGGAUAGGAAUGGAAAUGUUCUUUAUUAAUUCAACAUUAAAAAGGCAGAUAAGGAGGCUUUUUGCAGGAAGUGGUUUAACACUGGGCUGCAUAAAUUCCCAAUAAAAAUCUGAGACAUCAUCAUUUUUAACAAUUACAUUUAUUUCGUCCUGCCACAGAGUUACAAAGAAAAGUAAGAAAACUUUAGAUUUAUAAAUCUAAAUACAUCUGUUAUUUAUUCACAGAAUACAGAACUAUAACAGAUAAUAAAACAUUUAAUCGGUUUAUUUGCCAUAUUACCUUAA
Molecule: long non-coding RNA, 1502 nt
Organism: Xiphophorus couchianus (Monterrey platyfish)
Lineage: Eukaryota; Metazoa; Chordata; Actinopteri; Cyprinodontiformes; Poeciliidae
Exons: 2
Source: RefSeq, a predicted model, not a curated record